CGACCCCGUGAAGUUGGAGUCGCUAGUAAUCGCAGAUCAGCACUGCUGCGGUGAAUACGUUCCCGGGGCUUGUACACACCGCCCGUCACACCACGAAAGUGGGCAACACCCGAAGCCGGUGGCCUAACCCUUGUGGAGGGAGCCGUCGAAGGUGGGGCUCGCGAUUGGGGUGAAGUCGUAACAAGGUAGCCGUACCGGAAGGUGCGGCUGGAUCACCUCCUUUC
Molecule: ribosomal RNA, 224 nt
Filed under: uncultured bacterium
Lineage: Bacteria
Description: partial 16S ribosomal RNA
Rfam family: Bacterial small subunit ribosomal RNA
Source: RNAcentral